This is a long non-coding RNA of Taeniopygia guttata (zebra finch), 1818 nucleotides long. The record is from Ensembl. NCBI's taxonomy places the organism in Eukaryota, Metazoa, Chordata, Aves, Passeriformes, Estrildidae.
GGCGAGCGGGGCGGUGUGUCUGUCUCGGCUGUCACACCUGUCCUGAGGAAAGCCCUGUGGAAGGAGCUCGGUGCCGCGAUUCAGGACCCUGAGGCCACUGUGAAACUGCAAAUUCUUUCCAAGCUGUUGCCACCUCCGGGAAGUAAAGGGCUGCACAACCUGAUGGACUGCCUUCCUGCUGCUCCGGAGAGAGCAGGGAAUGAAGAGAGUGUGUGGUUGAAGAAGUGGACCCAGAUGACUGGUGUGACCUUGUGAAGACAGGGCUCAAGUACCGUUACAGAGAUGAAACAUUUCUGAAGGUCCUGAACGUUGCCAUCCAGUUACUAUACAUGAAAGAAUCCUCACUUAGAGCGUAGUCAAGCUCUCCAAACUACACAUGGUGCUCACACAGCACUCUCUAUUUUUGGCAGCCAUCCUGAGGUCAAGAGAAGAAGAUGGCAUGAGCGUCCAGACAAGAGGAUGGCUCUCUGUGGUCUCAGACAGUGUUCCCUGGGAGGAAGGGCAGCCUUUGCCUCGCCUGCACAGCUCAGGUGGAUGUGACAGAAUUGCUGUGGUCUGCCAAGGCAUGAGCAGCUGUCUGUGCACUGGAGUGCCUUGAAACCUUUCUCUGUGAGGUUUUGGACACGUUUGUCUUUGGGAUUUCUUGUGACAGAGCACGCAGGACAGGAGAAAUCAUUGAGCUCCUCCCAUCUUUGCCAGAAGCUUCAGUGUUUAAGCAGCCAGAGCCAAGAGGCUUCAGCACCAGGGGUGUGCACUGGAGGGCUCCUGGUCCUGUCCAUGCUGUGGGGGAGCCAGGGCUGGCACAAGGACUCGUGCGGGUGCUGCUCUGGCACUGGACCUGUUUCCCUGUGGAGCCAUUUAAAAAUGUGAUUAUGGAACAUUUUGGAGGCCGUUUCUGGAAUUCCAUUUGUAGCUGGAUCUCGCUCUGAGUGCAGCAGUCCAGAUGCUGCACUCACCUCUGCAGACCAACGCUGAGCUGUCACUGCAGGAACCCGUCAGGCCUCCGUGGCUGAAAGGGAUGCACAUCCCUGCCUGCAGCACACCUCCAGUGGGACCCACCUGUGAGAGUUUUCCAUCACUUCUGCACCUCCAGCUGGCUCCCUGGAAAUCUCCAGACAUCAUCCCACUCAAACCUCUGAUUUUAAGGCAUCUCAGAGGCUAUGGCUAUGGCUUGGCAUUUAGUAUCUGUGAAGGAAGAUUGCCUUGGCUCAAAUGAAAUGUAAACUUUAAGGCAUUUAGAGAUUUUGAGGAGCUAAGAGAAAUAAGUCUUACUAGAAUUAAUUAAAAUAAGAAUAACAAAUGAGUAGGCCUUGAUGAAGUUAGGAGUUAGUAGUUAACUAAUAAUUAAUUGCUUGUCAGCACAAUGUUUAGUUAGCUGGGUUUAUAAUGAAGAAUAUAGAAACAGAUAAAUAGCUUUUAGGAACAUAAGACAAUUGUGGGCCUCUGUUCUGAAACCAAUUGAAGACAAGGAAUGGGAGUUCUACCAAGAGUUCAUUUGUCAUACUUGCAUUGAAAAGGUAGAAAGGUCAGAAGGAGGAAGACUUCAUUUACUUCCUCAUUUUGGGACCCCUCCCCAUGAAAGGGACCACCGACCCAUUUCAAGGGACAAACUACGCAUGCUUAAUAGCUUUUGGAGUGAUUAGCAUACGAAGCAGGGAAUGGGAUGUACCAAAAUUAUGAAUAUGUAUUUGUAUUUCGGGUAUUCAAUACUUGUAUGGAUAAAAAGACUCUGUAAUCACCUGGAAGGGGCGGUGUGUAUUUGGGAGCAAUCCCGCACGCUGCCCGGCGUCGAAUAAACAUACACUUGCUAACUUUAAA